This 840-nucleotide ribosomal RNA is filed under the name Salmonella enterica. RNAcentral describes it as "partial 23S ribosomal RNA". It matches the Rfam family "Bacterial large subunit ribosomal RNA", at positions 2093 to 2925 of the family's 2925-position model. The record is from RNAcentral. Lineage: Bacteria; Pseudomonadati; Pseudomonadota; Gammaproteobacteria; Enterobacterales; Enterobacteriaceae.
GUGAACCUUUACUAUAGCUUGACACUGAACAUUGAGCCUUGAUGUGUAGGAUAGGUGGGAGGCUUUGAAGUGUGGACGCCAGUCUGCAUGGAGCCGACCUUGAAAUACCACCCUUUAAUGUUUGAUGUUCUAACGUGGACCCGUAAUCCGGGUUGCGGACAGUGUCUGGUGGGUAGUUUGACUGGGGCGGUCUCCUCCUAAAGAGUAACGGAGGAGCACGAAGGUUGGCUAAUCCUGGUCGGACAUCAGGAGGUUAGUGCAAUGGCAUAAGCCAGCUUGACUGCGAGCGUGACGGCGCGAGCAGGUGCGAAAGCAGGUCAUAGUGAUCCGGUGGUUCUGAAUGGAAGGGCCAUCGCUCAACGGAUAAAAGGUACUCCGGGGAUAACAGGCUGAUACCGCCCAAGAGUUCAUAUCGACGGCGGUGUUUGGCACCUCGAUGUCGGCUCAUCACAUCCUGGGGCUGAAGUAGGUCCCAAGGGUAUGGCUGUUCGCCAUUUAAAGUGGUACGCGAGCUGGGUUUAGAACGUCGUGAGACAGUUCGGUCCCUAUCUGCCGUGGGCGCUGGAGAACUGAGGGGGGCUGCUCCUAGUACGAGAGGACCGGAGUGGACGCAUCACUGGUGUUCGGGUUGUCAUGCCAAUGGCACUGCCCGGUAGCUAAAUGCGGAAGAGAUAAGUGCUGAAAGCAUCUAAGCACGAAACUUGCCCCGAGAUGAGUUCUCCCUGAGACUUAGAGUCUCCUGAAGGAACGUUGAAGACGACGACGUUGAUAGGCCGGGUGUGUAAGCGCAGCGAUGCGUUGAGCUAACCGGUACUAAUGAACCGUGAGGCUUAACCUUAC